This is an unclassified non-coding RNA of Pogona vitticeps (central bearded dragon), 313 nucleotides long. Its record names the gene 7SK. It matches the Rfam family "7SK RNA". Rfam says of the family: 7SK was discovered as an abundant small nuclear RNA in the mid-70s but a possible function has only recently been suggested. The record is from Ensembl. NCBI's taxonomy places the organism in Eukaryota, Metazoa, Chordata, Lepidosauria, Squamata, Agamidae.
GGAUGUGAGGGCGAUCUGGCUGCAACAUCUAUCACCUCAUUGAUCGCCAGAGUUGAUUUGCCUGAUCUGACUGGCUAGGCGGGUGUCCCCUUCCUACCUCACAGCUCCAUGUGCACCCCUCCUGAAGCUGCACAUUCGGUGGAAGAGGACAACCAUCCCAGAUAGAAGGAGUGUACCGCUCUUCAGUCAAGAGUAUACGAUAGCUGCACUCCCCUGCUAGAACCUCCAAACAAGCUCUAGGUCCUUUUCUUUAUUUGGUUAUAAAGGUAACAGUGUAGCCUGCUAUAAUGACUCAAAUAGAAAUAAAUCCUUU